This 908-nucleotide ribosomal RNA is filed under the name uncultured archaeon. RNAcentral's name for it is "bacterial SSU rRNA". It matches the Rfam family "Archaeal small subunit ribosomal RNA", at positions 8 to 921 of the family's 1478-position model. The record is from RNAcentral.
UUGAUCCCGCCGGAGACCAUCGCUAUCCGAGUUCGACUUAGACAUGCGAGCCGUGAGGGGUAAGCCCUCGGCGAACUGCUCUGUAAUACACAGCCAACCUCCCCUAAGGAGGAGAGGAAUCUCGAGAAAUUGAGGCUAAUGUUCCAUAGGCAUUGAUUUCUGGAAUGAUUCAAUGUUCAAAGGCGCAAGCUGCCUUAGGAUGGGACUGUGCGUUAUCAGGCUGUUGUUGGUGUAAAGAACCAACAAACCGAUAACGGCUAAGGGUCAUGGAAGUGAAGGCCCUGAGAUGGAUUCUGAGACAUGAAUCCAGGUACUACGGUACGCAGCAGUUACGAAAACUUUGCAAUGCGCUGACGCGCGACAAGGGGACUUGGAGUGUUCUUGCAUUGCAAGAACUUUUACUCUCUGAAAACAGGAGAGGGAAUAAGGACUGGGAGACACGGGUGCCAGCCACCGCGGUAAUACCCGGAGUCCGAGUGAUGGUCACGAUUAUUUGGCCUAAAGCAUCCGUAGGCGGUCUAAUAAGUCUCUUAUGAAAUCCUUUAGCAAACUAAAGGGCUUGUAAGAGAUACUAUUAGACUUGAGACCGAGAGAGGACAGCGAUACUUCUUAGGUAGGGGUUAAAUCCUUUAAUCUAAGAAGGAUCACCUGUGGCGAAGGCGGCUGUCUGGAGCGGGUCUGACGCUGAGGGAUGAAAGCUAGGGGAGCAAUCGGGAUUAGAUACCCCGGUAGUCCUAGCUGUAAACGAUGCCCACUUGGUGUUGCAGGCUUCUUGGGAGCUUGCAGUGCCGGAGCGUAGGUGUUAAGUGGGCCGCCUGGGGAGUAUACUCGCAAGGGUGAAACUUAAGGGAAUUGGCGGGGGAGCACACAAGGGGUGGAGGCUGCGGUUUAAUUGGAGUCAACGCCGG